RNAcentral lists this transfer RNA (66 nucleotides) under Salmonella enterica subsp. enterica serovar Infantis. RNAcentral's name for it is "tRNA-Lys". It matches the Rfam family "tRNA", at positions 5 to 66 of the family's 71-position model. Rfam says of the family: Transfer RNA (tRNA) molecules are approximately 80 nucleotides in length. Their secondary structure includes four short double-helical elements and three loops (D, anti-codon, and T loops). Lineage: Bacteria; Pseudomonadati; Pseudomonadota; Gammaproteobacteria; Enterobacterales; Enterobacteriaceae. The record is from RNAcentral.
GUCGUUAGCUCAGUUGGUAGAGCAGUUGACUUUUAAUCAAUUGGUCGCAGGUUCGGGCCUCACGCA